RNAcentral lists this ribosomal RNA (474 nucleotides) under uncultured bacterium. RNAcentral's name for it is "partial 16S ribosomal RNA". It matches the Rfam family "Bacterial small subunit ribosomal RNA", at positions 28 to 507 of the family's 1533-position model. The record is from RNAcentral.
GACGAACGCUGGCGGCGUGCUUAACACAUGCAAGUCGAGCGGUAAGGCUCCUUCGGGAGUCCACGAGCGGCGCACGGGUGAGUAACACGUGAGUAAUCUGCCCUUCACUUCGGGAUAACCACCGGAAACGGUGGCUAAUACCGAAUACGACCAGUCUUCGCAUGAGGUGCUGGUGGAAAGUCUUUUCGGUGAAGGAUGUGCUCGCGGCCUAUCAGCUUGUUGGUGGGGUAAUGGCCUACCAAGGCUUCGACGGGUAGCCGGCCUGAGAGGGUGACCGGCCACACUGGGACUGAGACGCGGCCCAGACUCCUACGGGAGGCAGCAGUGGGGAAUAUUGGACAAUGGGCGAAAGCCUGAUCCAGCAACGCCGCGUGAGGGAUGACGGCCUUCGGGUUGUAAACCUCUUUCAGUACCGACGAAGCGCCCUGUCGGGUGGUGACGGUAGGUACAGAAGAAGGACCGGCCAACUACGUG